UACGUAGGGUGCAAGCGUUAAUCGGAAUUACUGGGCGUAAAGCGUGCGCAGGCGGUUUUGUAAGCCAGAUGUGAAAUCCCCGGGCUUAACCUGGGAAUGGCAUUUGGGACUGCAAGGCUUGAGUUUGGCAGAGGAGACUGGAAUUCCUGGUGUAGCAGUGAAAUGCGUAGAUAUCAGGAGGAAUACCGAUGGCGAAGGCAGGUCUCUGGGCUGAAACUGACGCUCAUGCACGAAAGCGUGGGGAGCAAACAGG
This 253-nucleotide ribosomal RNA is filed under the name uncultured bacterium. RNAcentral describes it as "partial 16S ribosomal RNA". It matches the Rfam family "Bacterial small subunit ribosomal RNA", at positions 524 to 776 of the family's 1533-position model. The record is from RNAcentral.